Molecule: ribosomal RNA, 827 nt
Filed under: uncultured marine microorganism
Description: bacterial SSU rRNA
Rfam family: Bacterial small subunit ribosomal RNA
Source: RNAcentral
GUAGCGGUGAAAUGCGUAGAUAUCGGGAAGAACACCAGUGGCGAAGGCGCUCUGCUGGNCCAUCACUGACGCUCAUGGGCGAAAGCCAGGGNAGCGAAAGGGAUUAGAUACCCCUGUAGUCCUGGCCGUAAACGAUGAACACUAGGUGUCGGGGGAAUCGACCCCCUCGGUGUCGUAGCCAACGCGUUAAGUGUUCCGCCUGGGGAGUACGCACGCAAGUGUGAAACUCAAAGGAAUUGACGGGGGCCCGCACAAGCGGUGGAGUAUGUGGUUUAAUUCGAUGCAACGCGAAGAACCUUACCAGGGUUUGACAUCCUGCGAAUCUCUUGGAAACAGGAGAGUGCCUUCGGGAACGCAGUGACAGGUGGUGCAUGGCUGUCGUCAGCUCGUGUCGUGAGAUGUUGGGUUAAGUCCCGCAACGAGCGCAACCCACGUCUUUAGUUGCCAGCAUUUAGUUGGGCACUCUAGAGAGACUGCCGGUGAUAAACCGGAGGAAGGUGUGGAUGACGUCAAGUCACCAUGCCCCUUACAUCCUGGGCUACACACGUACUACAAUGCUACGGACAAAGGGCAGCAAGUUCGCGAGGACAAGCAAAUCCCAUAAACCGUGGCUCAGUUCAGAUCGUAGGCUGCAACUCGCCUACGUGAAGGCGGAAUCGCUAGUAAUCGCAGGUCAGCAUACUGCGGUGAAUACGUUCCCGGGCCUUGUACACACCGCCCGUCACACCAUGGAAGUUGGCCACGCCCGAAGCCGUUACUCCAACCCUUGUGGAGGAGGACGUCGAAGGUGGGGCUGAUGACUGGGGUGAAGUCGUAACAAGGUAACC